CUAUAUGUAUCUUACAAAUGUUUUUUGCUUGGUUUUGAGUUUUAAAGAUUGUUGUAGAAAUUAUUUCUAAUAUAAAUAAAUGAUUAUUUCUUCCUCAGAGGGUUGAUUUUUGUAGUGCGCUAUUUACAAAAACUGAGUAAGUGAAAAUGACAGUUGAUAAAUUUGUACCAUCUAGGAAAAAAAUGUUUUAUGUAGUGUAGCAUGAAUAACAGCAGAUAAAACCAUUGAAGAUUUUAGUUUUUACACAGGUGGUAAAACCUUUAAAACAGACUAUAACAUGCAUUAUAGGUGCAUUUCUGACCUUAAUGUGCAAAAACAAAGCUACUGGUUAAAAUAGACUUAUUUUUGCUACAAUUGAGUACAUUUGUAAAAUUCUUAUUUUUAUCAUGAAUUUCAAUUAAUAGCUUUGAAGGUAUUCUGCUUAAAAUGAAAAUAAUUUAAAACAAUAAUAUUGAACACUGUAACCCAAAACUGAUAGAAAACUGCAGUGCUGCUGUGAACAAAGUCAGACAUUCUGGUAACGUGUAAAACAUGAAGAAAAAUGAUCCCCCAAGUUGUAGAACGGAGAUACACAGAACAGUCUUCUCAUAUUUAAAAAAUCCAAGGUUUUCAAAGAAACGGGAAAAUACUAAUUUGUUGUUGGCAUCACCGAUGUCUAGGUAAGCUGCAGUUAAAUCACCUGGAUAAAUACAAAAUUGAUAAUUCCAUCUUUAAAAUAAAAUAACCAAGAACUAUUCCAUAAAUAGGAUGCUAUCUACUGGGGAAAACGUCUAUGCAUGUAGGGUACAUUGUCUUCCGUCCUGGCAGCAGAUGGACUGCAGGUGAAAACACUCAUCAUUUAGAAAGUAGGUUAGUUAUUUCAUUAGUGGUACUUGAGAAAGUCCCAUUUAUGCCAAACCAGCAGCACCCCUAAAUAAACAAAACUUUAAAUUUACAGCAUGACGUGUAACGUACAAAAGUUUUUGAGCAACUGGUUUCCCGCAGACACAGAUGUCAGCAUCUGCUGUCAGUUCCAGCUCACGUGGGAGAGAGUCACAAGUGUUCUUACCAAUAGCUACUCCUGAACGGAGCUGCUACUUUCUGUAUAUUUUCAAUAAAAUCAUUUACAUCUGUAACAAGGAUGCCACUGUUUUCAAAGACUUCUCUGGAGACAACAGGCUUUUCUGUAAAAGGAAAAAUAACUUUUGGUGAAAAAAUUCAUUAAUAUUUUUUAAAAGUAGCAAAAUCCCUUUUAUUGAAAAAAACAGACUCAUACACGUGAAGGGAAAAGCAAGCCUGUUUCUAGUGAGGAAUGAGGUUGGCGCUCUGGGACCAGCCCCCUCCAUGGGUGGUGGUGGGAGGGAGGGAGUUGAAACCAGGAGCUGAAACCACUGAUGGGCAUUCAUUCAUUCCUGGAGUACUUUUUUAAAAGCUUAGAUGGUUACACUUAACAGAUCUAGUACACGUUUUUUUUUUUUUCUAUUAACAGGACAAAACCCACAAUACCUGCUGCCCCAGCCUCGUGUGCGUUUAUUCCUGGCCGCCAAUGACUCCACUUGGAAGGACGUUUCUAGAGUGGACCUACUGGGCGUUAACUGGUUGAUGAAAAUUAGAACUAAGGCUAUGAAUUUACCUGUAAGGAAGACGGCAAACCUGGCGUGGACAUGCUGAAUUUGCAGGUUUAGCAGACAUUUCAGUUUUGGACAAUUUCUCCCCGCCUCCAAGGGCAAAAGGAUAUGAUAAGUUUUCUGAAAAGUUCUCACUAUUCGAGACUGGCCUGAUUUGAAGAGAUUCCGGUGACAUAAGUGUCUCUGUUUACGCAAAGUCCUACGCAUGCUGAAUUAAUUUACAAUGACCGAUCUUAACAGGCGUGCUGUGCCACCUCAGCUUUCAUCUGCUUCUGUACUUACUCCUGCAGUUGAACCUUCCCUCUGAAGUGCUGUUAACUAAGCCCUGUGAGGGCCCCUUGGAGCCCUUCCUCCCUGACAGUCUCAGCUCUCGGUUCCGCGCCCUCUUUUCCUCCUGUACGAGUUCCUCUCCUAAGUGCAAGCCUUUCCCCAACUGCUAUUCUCAGCCAUCUUUCGAGAUCCCGUGCACAUCCACGAUUUCAGUUGUCUUCCUCUGGAGAAAGCAGUGUGGUCAAACAGAAGGUAACUGUCAGGUCGGAGAUGAACAUUCCGGGUCAAAGCCCAGCUUCCUGACUUCCUCCUUGUCUGCCUGGGUCAGGUCUAGCAUCCUCUGUGCCUCAACUUCCACAUCAUUAAAGUGGGUUUGUACUGUC
Long non-coding RNA from Balaenoptera ricei (Rice's whale), 2260 nucleotides. RefSeq lists it as uncharacterized. The transcript has 2 exons. Lineage: Eukaryota; Metazoa; Chordata; Mammalia; Artiodactyla; Balaenopteridae. The record is from RefSeq and is a predicted model, not a curated record.